RNA transcript from Daucus carota subsp. sativus, 1935 nucleotides. RefSeq lists it as uncharacterized. The transcript is spliced from 7 exons. Lineage: Eukaryota; Viridiplantae; Streptophyta; Magnoliopsida; Apiales; Apiaceae. The record is from RefSeq and is a predicted model, not a curated record.
AUGACAUUUACAUUCCGGCCCCCCCUAAAAAAUCUUCCUGGCUCCGUCACUGGGGAUAACUAUGGUGGUUCUCAGCGGAUACUUGUGUCGCCAUAAUUAUUUGAUUCCAUCACGAUCACUUCUGAAGCGGUGGUUGAGCUGUCCAGCAGAGGAGUUUGUAAACGCUUACAGUCUCUUAGGUGUCUCAGAGUCGAGCUCCUUUUCAGAAAUCAAAUCGUCUUUUCGAAAACUCGCUAAACAAACUCACCCCGACUUGGCCCCCAAUGAUCCCUCUGUUUCCCAGCGAUUUGUUCAAAUUCUCGCCGCUUAUCAGAUAUUAUCGGACAGUGAGAAGAGAGCCCAUUAUGACAGGUAUCUGUUAUCUCAAAGAUCACUUGUUCAGAGACAGUCGAGACAAGGCUCGGUACUGUACAAAUAUGAAUCCCAUUCGACAAUGAAGCAGAUGGAAGUUGUUGAGUGGCUAAGAUGGUAUAGAUAUGCUAUUAGUGACAUUUUAUCGGAGAAAAGGGUGGUAGUUGGAUCAGGUUAUCUUGACGUAUUGGAAAGAGAUUUCUAUUCUGCCUUACAUGUGGCAUAUUAUGGUCCUGAAAUCGAGUCCAUGGACCUCCUUCCUGACAGUUUUGAAGCUGAGGAACGAUCUGCCAGUGAGACUCCGGAGGUGCUCCAUAUAGUGUCAGGGAGAGAUCUUUUUGGAAUGGUACGUAUUGCCAAAAGGAUUCCUGAAAUAUCACACACCUGCAAUGUUAAGCUUUCCACCUUUUCUUCUACUGAUCUAAGGGUAUGCGAAUCCACAGAGAAUGCAAGAACCCAAAAGAAAUAUGGUUUAUCCGAUUCAAGUUUCUGUCAGAUGCACACCACAAGCUCUGAUCAGCCUACAUCCGAUGCAUAUAAAGAUCUAGAAUUGCAUAUAUCGGGACGAGUUAUUGCUGUAGGUACAAGAGUACCGCCAAUGCAAAAUGAAGACUCUGAAGAUCACAUACAUAUAUAUCUUAAUCCUGACCCAGCAUCAAUACCUUUGUCUCUUGAGUUUCCUAGAGAUUCAGAAGGUGUUUCAAGUGGGUCAAGGACUCCGUUGGGAACUAUAGUUGGACUUGGAACAAGCUCUGAUGAAGGGUCCUGCUAUGUCCGCAAUAACUUGGGGACAAAGACCCAUAUAAUCAUGAAGCAUAGAACAUUGCUGGUAAAGCACUUGCACUGGUAUCACAUAGGAGAUGAAGCUUCUGUUUGUGAGUGCAGAUGCAGGAGAGCUCAGCUACCACCCAGCAGAUUUUGGUUGUUUGAGCCUCGAUGUGGGAUGCAUGACAUUGGUGGUUGGUACGUGGAGACGUUUGGUAGAGAUAAAAAAGGGCGGAAUGUACUGUCUCAAAGAUAUUGGGAUGGACUGGAUACAAGUGAACAUUUUGACAAAAGACUUCAUCCAGCUAUGUACCUGCUUGCUCUUGCCUAUAGAACUCUGGACAUUGAAAAUAAAAAGAAACAAAAGCAAACAACACAAUACAUCUCUGCAGAUAACAUGUCUAGAAUUUGUAGUUGGUGGAAGAAACUUGUGUAGGUCAGGCAACUACUCCAGAGAUGGAGUCUAUGGCCUAUGCUAUACCAUUUAUUUCCAGGGAAUUGAUGCAGAUAGCUAACCUUCUAUAUAAAACAAGGAGUUGAGGGAGGCAACAGCAAUCUGGAGGCCUUGAAGUAGAAUGUGCGGGCGUUGUCACCUUGUGCUGUGUUGAGUGUACUGGCCUUUCAUCAGCAGCUUCCGGCUUCCGCUCUAUCGGUUUCAAUUAUCAGUUCUGCUGGAAAUCUUGCUAGCUCCAUUUGUUUAUUAAUAUAGCAUCCAUUUACUCACAUGAGGUAGAAAUAGUAAAAUUGUUGCACCAUUUGGAUGCUUAUCCGUUCCAUUUGAUGGUAAAUUAUAUAAUAAAUUUUGUGGUGAUUAUUGAA